UCUGGGAAGGGUGGGGUGGUCAUGAAGUCCUGAGAGAGCAGAGGGACACACCAACUUCUCUUGUUGGUUCCCUCAACCCUGCCCAUACCUAUGGGUAAUCAGAGAUGGAUUCAGUCUCCAGUUAGGAUCCUCAUCAAGGUAUUUGUAUGGGGGAUUCCAUGCAGAUGGUGUAUAGAGAGAAGAUAGACACAAGGGAUCUUCAUAGCCAAGGACUGGAUUUGAACAAGUCAGUCUCCAGCUAUGUUUUAGAGACUGAGGACUGUGCCCGUCAUCCCUUAGAGCUUCUCUCUGGGCCACUGGCUCGAAGGGCACAUAUCAGGGAAAAAGAAUUCACAACGGAACAUCAACAUAUCCAAAAGACAAGUUUCAAUGAACAGAUUCUCAGCAAAAGGACUCUAAGGAUGCAGAGGAAGGGAAGUCGCCCUAUCUGGGAAGGAGGUCAUGAAACUACAAGGAAAGAUGCAGAAAUCAUCACAGGAUGACUAAGUGCAAUGUGGAAACCUGGAUUGGAUCCUGGAAUGGAAAAACGAGCAUUGUGACUUCAGAAAGAACCUAGUGUGAGGAGGAGAUGGGAUGAAAAGGAGAUAAAAGAAGACAUCAUUCAAAGAUGCAUACAGGGAAGAUCAACCCUUCUGGGUCUCAGGGUGGUUCAUGGAUAAUCCAAUCAAGGAG
Gorilla gorilla gorilla (western lowland gorilla) is the source of this 672-nucleotide RNA transcript. RefSeq lists it as uncharacterized. The record is from RefSeq and is a predicted model, not a curated record. Lineage: Eukaryota; Metazoa; Chordata; Mammalia; Primates; Hominidae. The transcript has 5 exons.